UACGUAGGGGGCAAGCGUUGUCCGGAUUUAUUGGGCGUAAAGGGCGCGUAGGCGGCUUUGCAAGUGACGGGUGAAAUCCCUCGGCUUAACCGAGGAACUGCCUGUCAGACUGCAUGGCUUGAGACCAGGAGAGGUGAGUGGAAUUCCCAGUGUAGCGGUGAAAUGCGUAGAUAUUGGGAGGAACACCAGUGGCGAAGGCGGCUCACUGGACUGGUACUGACGCUGAGGCGCGAAAGCCAGGGGAGCAAACGGG
Molecule: ribosomal RNA, 253 nt
Filed under: uncultured bacterium
Lineage: Bacteria
Description: partial 16S ribosomal RNA
Rfam family: Bacterial small subunit ribosomal RNA
Source: RNAcentral